Long non-coding RNA from Monomorium pharaonis (pharaoh ant), 1909 nucleotides. RefSeq lists it as uncharacterized. The record is from RefSeq and is a predicted model, not a curated record. The transcript has 2 exons. NCBI's taxonomy places the organism in Eukaryota, Metazoa, Arthropoda, Insecta, Hymenoptera, Formicidae.
AUAUAUAUAUCUUUUUGUUAUUUGGUUAUUAGUGCAAAGUGAUUUUAAUAAUAAUAUAGUAAUGAAGACAUGACAAACAUAUUUAAAUGGACCCCAAGAAUUGUCCUACUUUGCACAAAAGGUCUUUUUAACAAGUCAUGCAAUCGACUACACGCAUAUAUGUAUGCAUACAAAAAUAGUGGGGACGCGCAUGCGUUGGAAAAUCUUAUUAUAAUCUGAUCAUGUACUAAAAGUAUUGGAUAACUUAUUGUUAGUGAUAAAGCAAAUCCUCUCCUGUCAAGCAAAAAGACAAAUUCAUUUCUCGAUAUUAUGGUAUCUCAGACAUAUACGUAUAAUUUUAAAAGAAAAAUAUAUCGAUCAUUUUAAUAAAUACAAAUAUCUAUAAAUAAAUCCAAUAACUUAAUUUAAUAUCUCAUGAUACUACAUGCAGCAAUAACAAUAUAAUUGAUAAAAAAAUAUUUGAUCAUAAACCAUAAGUUUAAUUGUUUUUUAAUGCUGUUCUAAUUUACACUAGCAUUUUCCUUCUCGUUUUCGCCAAAUUUCAAAUUUAUUUUGCUUUAAAAAAUAUAUUUUAAUAGAUAUACUUUACAAUAUAUCUAUUAAAUAUACAAAUUCAGAUAUUAAAAAACCUUUAUGAUACUUCAUCUCAAUAGGGAUAAAAAUCAAUGAUAGAAAAAAAAUUGCUAGCGAAUUCGGGUAUCAACCCUACUAUUACGCUCCUGGCGCAUAAUAAAGACUGCUGCGUACAAAAUACAAAAGCAUAGCACAUGGUACGUUCGUUUUACACCUUCUACACUCGUAUUCGUCGCUCUUUCUCUCCCUAACGUCCGAAUAAACAUCCAUCUCGUUUCAAAUGUAGAAAGUGAUAUGGAGUGCAAAUGAAACAAGUAGACCUUUAUGCUUAUCUUGACUGGAUGAAGUAUCCAUAUACAUAAUAUAUUCUGCUAAAUAAUAAAUAUUAUCAUUUUAUUUAACGGAUUACAUGUUGCUUACAUUAACAAUUAAGGUGCUUCUCGUUAUGUUUUUGCACUCAAAUAAGCACUUCGUGUGUAACGAUUUUUAGUAUGUACACGUAAUUGUAACGAAAGUUACCUUUAAUCUUUAAACAUAAACCCCUUAAUAAUCAAUACAUGAUUAUUAAACUCCUUUAGAUUUUUAUAUUUAUCCUGUCUACGAAACAGUAAAUGAUUUUGGGGAAAAUAAAAAGAUAUAUAAUACUUAAUACAUAACUCUUAAAAAGACAGCUUUUGACACACAAUGUCUUUACCAAGUAUCAGCUUCGCAGAUUUCUGAAGGGAAACUAUCUGAGAAUGCUCGGUCUUUAUUUAUUCGACGGACACACACUGACGAGGUAUUGUCAAAGAAGGUCAAUUAAAUGCUGGCUCCGUACCAACUGUAGCAAGGACGAGUGAUCGUGAACGAGCAUUUACGAUGAAGGAAAACGAGCAUAAAUGUGAAUCUAGACGCCGAUGAGGUGGAUACUAUUAAAGACGGCCAGCCCCGAAUAAAUUUUCAUGAUCAAACGGACUUGAGGAUAACUAAAGAGUACAGACGUUAUCGACCGUUCCGAUAUAUAUAUAUAAUAUAAAUAUAUAUUCGAUAAAAAUAAUCUAAACAAUUGGACUACAAUGCAAUAUUAAAUUUAUUAUUGUGUAAAUGCUUCGUGAAGAGGUAUAUUUAUGAUGCAACAAUGUCAUGUUUAUGUUGUUGUAAACUAUAUCUUUCUAUGAUAUUCAACUAUAGGAUGGUAACAAUGAAAAUGUCGGUAGAAAUAAAAAUUAUUGCAUUAUAGAAAAUGUAAAAAAAAUAUUAAUAAAAUGCUAGUAAUAUACAUUACUUUGCCAGAUUUGAGAAUAUUGCAAUAUGCAUAUUUAUAAAAUAUGGAUAAUAAUAAAUUGAAAAUUUAUAC